This 252-nucleotide ribosomal RNA is filed under the name uncultured bacterium. RNAcentral's name for it is "partial 16S ribosomal RNA". It matches the Rfam family "Bacterial small subunit ribosomal RNA", at positions 524 to 776 of the family's 1533-position model. The record is from RNAcentral.
UACGUAGGUGGCAAGCGUUAUCCGGAAUUAUUGGGCGUAAAGCGCGCGCAGGCGGUUUCUUAAGUCUGAUGUGAAAGCCCACGGCUCAACCGUGGAGGGUCAUUGGAAACUGGGGAACUUGAGUGCAGAAGAGAAAAGCGGAAUUCCACGUGUAGCGGUGAAAUGCGUAGAGAUGUGGAGGAACACCAGUGGCGAAGGCGGCUUUUUGGUCUGUAACUGACGCUGAGGCGCGAAAGCGUGGGAGCGAACAGG